This 482-nucleotide ribosomal RNA is filed under the name uncultured bacterium. RNAcentral describes it as "partial 16S ribosomal RNA". It matches the Rfam family "Bacterial small subunit ribosomal RNA", at positions 30 to 507 of the family's 1533-position model. The record is from RNAcentral.
AUUGAACGCUGGCGGCAUGCCUUACACAUGCAAGUCGAACGGUAACGGGCCUUCGGGUGCCGUCGAGCGGCGAACGGGGGCGGAAUACAUCGGAACGUGCCCGAUCGUGGGGGAUAACGGGGCGAAAGCUUUGCUAAUACCGCAUACGAUCUACGGAUGAAAGCAGGGGACCGCAAGGCCUUGCGCGGACGGAGCGGCCGAUGGCAGAUUAGGUAGUUGGUGGGAUAAAAGCUUACCAAGCCGACGAUCCGUAGCUGGUCUGAGAGGAUGAUCGGCCACACUGGGACUGAGACACGGCCCAGACUCCUACGGGAGGCAGCAGUGGGGAAUUUUGGACAAUGGGCGCAAGCCUGAUCCAGCCAUGCCGCGUGCAGGAUGAAGGCCUUCGGGUUGUAAACUGCUGUUGUACGGAACGAAAAGCCUUCUUUUAAUACAGGAGGGUCAUGACGGUACCGUAAGAAUAAGCACCGGCUAACUACGUG